Molecule: non-coding RNA, 438 nt
Organism: Electrophorus electricus (electric eel)
Lineage: Eukaryota; Metazoa; Chordata; Actinopteri; Gymnotiformes; Gymnotidae
Source: the annotation of a RefSeq genome assembly
GAGCUGUGGUGCAAAAUGGCUCAGCUAUACAGCCUACUGCACAUGGGGAGAUACAUACUACUUUGUGGCAUCGUUGUGGCACCAGAUGUGUUGGAAGAUACAAUUGGGCCUGUGGAGGAAGAUACAAACAUUGUAAAGGAAGAAAGUGAAAAUGUGACUUUGAUAUGUUCAUAUAAGUCAGAGAGCACUUUCAUUUCUCUGUACUGGUACAGACAGGACUCUAACAGUGCACCACAAUAUUUACUGCACCAAGGCAAGGGUGAGAAGAGCACUCCUGCUGACCAACGGCUUGAGGCAACAUCAACAGAUAGCUCUACUGAACUUACUAUCAGCAGAUUACUGCUCACAGAUACAGCUCUGUACCACUGUGCUCUCAAAGCCGUUAACCCAGUGUUACAAAGUCUCACACAAGCUGUACAAAAACUUUGUCAACGAUAA